AACGAACGCUGGCGGCGCGCUUAACACAUGCAAGUCGAACGAGAAGGCGUAGCAAUACGCUUGUACAGUGGCGAACGGGUGAGUAAUACGUGGGCGACCUACCCUCGAGUGGGGAAUAACCCGCCGAAGGCGGGCUAAUGCCGCGUACGCUUCCAUCUUUAUGGAGGUGGAAGGAAAGCCGUGCCGUGGGCACGGCGCUCAAGGAUGGGCUCACGUCCUAUCAGCUUGUUGGUAGGGAACGGCCUACCAAGGCUCCGACGGGUAGCUGGUCUGAGAGGACGAUCAGCCACACUGGCACUGCGACACGGGCCAGACUCCUACGGGAGCAGCAGUGAGGAAUAUUGCGCAAUGGGCGAAAGCCUGACGCAGCGACGCCGCGUGGGGGAUGAAGGUC
This 394-nucleotide ribosomal RNA is filed under the name uncultured bacterium. Its description in RNAcentral is "bacterial SSU rRNA". It matches the Rfam family "Bacterial small subunit ribosomal RNA", at positions 29 to 416 of the family's 1533-position model. The record is from RNAcentral.